This 2756-nucleotide long non-coding RNA is filed under the name Lupinus angustifolius (narrow-leaved blue lupine). RNAcentral describes it as "long non-coding RNA (LANG_LNC002205)". The record is from RNAcentral. Lineage: Eukaryota; Viridiplantae; Streptophyta; Magnoliopsida; Fabales; Fabaceae.
AGAAACCAAUUACAAAGCCUAUGGUGACAAACUUUGAAGGAUUAAUGGAAGCAAGAGCAAGAGAGGUCAAUAUGGUUUUGUAGAGAUAAAACUCAACUCAAUAAUCUAAUACAAGUCUUAUCUAAAAUCACCCUACCUUGAAUCAUGAAAAGCAACAAUGUAACAAGUUGAUAUGUCUUUGUUGUAUCUCCUAGGGAGUCAAUCAUUGUACAACAACUAAUAUAGAUAAGGGAGAUGUUGUUUAUUGGAAUUGAAUUUGUGACCUCUUUAUCUCUGAACAUCAACACAAAACCAUGACUUCCAUCACGAAUCCACAUACUUCAUCACCGCCAACCCUAAAAUCAUGUCCUCCGCCAUCGUGGACUUGCAACCACAACCAACAACCUCCAACUUUGGCCAAAACAGCCUGACCUGUUCAAAUCACCAAUAACAACACCUCAACUGACUAACCCAUGAAACCGAGUGCAAUUUAAAACAUUGAUUGAAAGCAUAAACUACUACUAUUAAGUUAAAUAAGGAGGUCCACCAAACUCCAUGGUGUUAAUAAUUCUGAACUGAUUGUUCCAUCAAUAUUCUGGCAAGUUAUCACAGAGAAGCUACCUACAGUUUAAUUCAUAGUGAAGUGAUUUUUGGUGCAUAAAUUGGCCUUAUAGACUUAUUAUUCCAUUGUUGUCCAAAAUAUGUCCAUUUAACAACAAAUGUAAAUCCAACACAACAAUAAUUAAACAACAGAUACACUUUUUCAGUUCCAUCACUCUUUUAAAAUCCAAUACAUCUAAGUUUGUUAUUUUUUUAAAAUUUAACUACAGGAAGAAAACAAGACACUAAAACAGUUGCAGUAUGUAAAGACCACUACAUUAAAAAGGAAACAAAUUACUUCAGUACAACUUGGGCAUGUACAUGAAGGGGUUAUAAGGCUUGGUUGUUGUUGUUGUACAACAUGGGCAUGUACAUGCAUUUACAUCAACUAAAGGUAGUACCACCAACAAAAAUAAAGGGGUUAUACCUUUAGUGAUUACAGGAACUGAGAGUAUUUGUACCUUGAAGCUAUCCAAUUGAAAAUUGAAGCAUAAAUAAUAAUCCUUUGUAUUUUACAUCUGCAAUCCUAACAAGUAUGUUUCCUCCAGUAACAACUGAGAGUUUGUUGUUGCAACCAUCUGAGAGUUUGUUGUUGCAACCAUCUGAAAAAGGUGAGAAAACAUAGAUAGUUAUUGCCUUACAAAUAUAUAUAAAUUAUAAUCAUGUUGCAGAAAACAAGAAAUAGAGAUGAAAAAGUAGUUGUAUUACCUUGAAUCCCAUUUUCUGAUACAUUAUCUGUGCAUGAUUGUUAUUCCUGUCAACUUGCACAUAUAACUAUGUCACACCUGUUAAAUGAAUGAAGGUAUGGUAAACCUUUUGGUUUCAUUUCAUGUUUCUAUUACAGACAUAAAACUAUGUCAAUAAUAGAUAGACUUCUGUACAAUGAGCCUUGGAUCUAUAAACUACAAGUAUCAACUUCCCUAGUAUUCCAUAUUUUUAAUGUGUAAAUCUAUUUCAAAUUCUCAUUUCGAAGCAUCACAUAAAAAUUAGUUUCCUUCACGUGGCUUCCCUUUUUCUUCACAUGUUUACAAUGAGUUCUACAUGUUUAGGCAAUAUAAACACAAGGCAAACACAAGGCAACAUCACUUAGAUUAACUAGAUUACCAUAUGAUACACAUAACAAAAACAUAAGUAUACGUAUAUCAUCAUUCUUAUGAUAAACUAGUCAAAAUUUUGUGCAGGAGAGUUUAACUUAAUCAUUUUAACAUUCCCUACUACCAUAAUAUGUCGAAGGAAACCAUUAUCAUCCCUCCACCUAAAACCAUAUGCUUUUUGAAUGGGUUUUUAAUAUGUGUCAGUGAUGAAAUACAUGCGUCCAUCAAGCAACAUAUAAAAUUAUAACUAACAAGCCAAAUUAUUAGUCAAAAAGGCCAAAACCACAAACAUUUCUUGACUAAAAUUUCAGAAUUUUUUCUCGAGAACAAAAUUGAUAUUUAACAUCUUUUGCUCCAUAAUAGCCAUUGAAUUCAAGUUCAAAGAUCAAGAAGAUCACAAAUGAAAGAUGUACCACUUAAGUAAAUAAAAAAUAUGCAAAUGACAUAAUGGAUGGAUUUUCAUUAAAAAGACUUUAAUUUCAAACAUCAAAUUGGAUUAUUCUGAAUUAAGUUACUUCAAAUUUCAGAGUUGCCUGACCCUAACAAGUAACAACACAUAUAUUAUUGAUCCAAAUGAAAUACUUAUAAGAUUUGAAACACACCUAAUUCAGAACUCGAACCACUACUUCCUGGUGAGAAACAUUACCUUCUUUGGCUUAAUGGUCCAAAACUAGGGAUUGAGAUUGACAGAAUCAUAUUUCCUAAAAUUUGAAUCAAAAUUAUAAAAUUGAAAAGGAAAAACAUUGUUAGUAUACUUGUGAGUGCAAAUGCAUGUACUUGUGAAGAAUAAAUAGAGGAUGAAAUUGCAAAUUCAUGAUGAAAAACAUCACUGGCGAAAGAAACAUCACUGAUGAAGAAGCUUCGAGCGUUGAUUGUUCAUUUGAAACCAAAAUGGUGAUGGUAAAAGCCAUGGUUAAAGCGUUGAGGACGAGAGAGAAGACAAGAUUAAAGUCUUGAGCGACAAGGAAGAAGUGAUAAAAAAAAUGGAAAUAAAAGUAUGGAGGGAGAGCUAAUGAUGAAUGUGAGAAGCUUCAUCAACCCUUCUAAAUAAUUUAAAUUAUGAGAUGCUAAGGUAAGUUGGAG